Molecule: ribosomal RNA, 2902 nt
Filed under: Escherichia coli
Lineage: Bacteria; Pseudomonadati; Pseudomonadota; Gammaproteobacteria; Enterobacterales; Enterobacteriaceae
Description: 23S ribosomal RNA
Rfam family: Bacterial large subunit ribosomal RNA
Source: RNAcentral
GGUUAAGCGACUAAGCGUACACGGUGGAUGCCCUGGCAGUCAGAGGCGAUGAAGGACGUGCUAAUCUGCGAUAAGCGUCGGUAAGGUGAUAUGAACCGUUAUAACCGGCGAUUUCCGAAUGGGGAAACCCAGUGUGAUUCGUCACACUAUCAUUAACUGAAUCCAUAGGUUAAUGAGGCGAACCGGGGGAACUGAAACAUCUAAGUACCCCGAGGAAAAGAAAUCAACCGAGAUUCCCCCAGUAGCGGCGAGCGAACGGGGAGGAGCCCAGAGCCUGAAUCAGUGUGUGUGUUAGUGGAAGCGUCUGGAAAGGCGCGCGAUACAGGGUGACAGCCCCGUACACAAAAAUGCACAUGCUGUGAGCUCGAUGAGUAGGGCGGGACACGUGGUAUCCUGUCUGAAUAUGGGGGGACCAUCCUCCAAGGCUAAAUACUCCUGACUGACCGAUAGUGAACCAGUACCGUGAGGGAAAGGCGAAAAGAACCCCGGCGAGGGGAGUGAAAAAGAACCUGAAACCGUGUACGUACAAGCAGUGGGAGCACGCUUAGGCGUGUGACUGCGUACCUUUUGUAUAAUGGGUCAGCGACUUAUAUUCUGUAGCAAGGUUAACCGAAUAGGGGAGCCGAAGGGAAACCGAGUCUUAACUGGGCGUUAAGUUGCAGGGUAUAGACCCGAAACCCGGUGAUCUAGCCAUGGGCAGGUUGAAGGUUGGGUAACACUAACUGGAGGACCGAACCGACUAAUGUUGAAAAAUUAGCGGAUGACUUGUGGCUGGGGGUGAAAGGCCAAUCAAACCGGGAGAUAGCUGGUUCUCCCCGAAAGCUAUUUAGGUAGCGCCUCGUGAAUUCAUCUCCGGGGGUAGAGCACUGUUUCGGCAAGGGGGUCAUCCCGACUUACCAACCCGAUGCAAACUGCGAAUACCGGAGAAUGUUAUCACGGGAGACACACGGCGGGUGCUAACGUCCGUCGUGAAGAGGGAAACAACCCAGACCGCCAGCUAAGGUCCCAAAGUCAUGGUUAAGUGGGAAACGAUGUGGGAAGGCCCAGACAGCCAGGAUGUUGGCUUAGAAGCAGCCAUCAUUUAAAGAAAGCGUAAUAGCUCACUGGUCGAGUCGGCCUGCGCGGAAGAUGUAACGGGGCUAAACCAUGCACCGAAGCUGCGGCAGCGACGCUUAUGCGUUGUUGGGUAGGGGAGCGUUCUGUAAGCCUGCGAAGGUGUGCUGUGAGGCAUGCUGGAGGUAUCAGAAGUGCGAAUGCUGACAUAAGUAACGAUAAAGCGGGUGAAAAGCCCGCUCGCCGGAAGACCAAGGGUUCCUGUCCAACGUUAAUCGGGGCAGGGUGAGUCGACCCCUAAGGCGAGGCCGAAAGGCGUAGUCGAUGGGAAACAGGUUAAUAUUCCUGUACUUGGUGUUACUGCGAAGGGGGACGGAGAAGGCUAUGUUGGCCGGGCGACGGUUGUCCCGGUUUAAGCGUGUAGGCUGGUUUUCCAGGCAAAUCCGGAAAAUCAAGGCUGAGGCGUGAUGACGAGGCACUACGGUGCUGAAGCAACAAAUGCCCUGCUUCCAGGAAAAGCCUCUAAGCAUCAGGUAACAUCAAAUCGUACCCCAAACCGACACAGGUGGUCAGGUAGAGAAUACCAAGGCGCUUGAGAGAACUCGGGUGAAGGAACUAGGCAAAAUGGUGCCGUAACUUCGGGAGAAGGCACGCUGAUAUGUAGGUGAAGUCCCUCGCGGAUGGAGCUGAAAUCAGUCGAAGAUACCAGCUGGCUGCAACUGUUUAUUAAAAACACAGCACUGUGCAAACACGAAAGUGGACGUAUACGGUGUGACGCCUGCCCGGUGCCGGAAGGUUAAUUGAUGGGGUUAGCGCAAGCGAAGCUCUUGAUCGAAGCCCCGGUAAACGGCGGCCGUAACUAUAACGGUCCUAAGGUAGCGAAAUUCCUUGUCGGGUAAGUUCCGACCUGCACGAAUGGCGUAAUGAUGGCCAGGCUGUCUCCACCCGAGACUCAGUGAAAUUGAACUCGCUGUGAAGAUGCAGUGUACCCGCGGCAAGACGGAAAGACCCCGUGAACCUUUACUAUAGCUUGACACUGAACAUUGAGCCUUGAUGUGUAGGAUAGGUGGGAGGCUUGGAAGUGUGGACGCCAGUCUGCAUGGAGCCGACCUUGAAAUACCACCCUUUAAUGUUUGAUGUUCUAACGUUGACCCGUGAUCCGGGUUGCGGACAGUGUCUGGUGGGUAGUUUGACUGGGGCGGUCUCCUCCUAAAGAGUAACGGAGGAGCACGAAGGUUGGCUAAUCCUGGUCGGACAUCAGGAGGUUAGUGCAAUGGCAUAAGCCAGCUUGACUGCGAGCGUGACGGCGCGAGCAGGUGCGAAAGCAGGUCAUAGUGAUCCGGUGGUUCUGAAUGGAAGGGCCAUCGCUCAACGGAUAAAAGGUACUCCGGGGAUAACAGGCUGAUACCGCCCAAGAGUUCAUAUCGACGGCGGUGUUUGGCACCUCGAUGUCGGCUCAUCACAUCCUGGGGCUGAAGUAGGUCCCAAGGGUAUGGCUGUUCGCCAUUUAAAGUGGUACGCGAGCUGGGUUUAGAACGUCGUGAGACAGUUCGGUCCCUAUCUGCCGUGGGCGCUGGAGAACUGAGGGGGCUGCUCCUAGUACGAGAGGACCGGAGUGGACGCAUCACUGGUGUUCGGGUUGUCAUGCCAAUGGCACUGCCCGGUAGCUAAAUGCGGAAGAGAUAAGUGCUGAAAGCAUCUAAGCACGAAACUUGCCCCGAGAUGAGUUCUCCCUGACUCCUUGAGAGUCCUGAAGGAACGUUGAAGACGACGACGUUGAUAGGCCGGGUGUGUAAGCGCAGCGAUGCGUUGAGCUAACCGGUACUAAUGAACCGUGAGGCUUAACCUU